CAAAAAGAAACACAUUUAUAUGAGGAGACGCUGCAGUAGAAAACUGUCCAGGCUGCAAGAAUUUCUGGAGGCCUUCAUCUCUUCUCAAAGCACACACUCGCCAGAAUAUUAACACUAUGUGGAUUUUAUCCAAACCCUAAAAAGGAAACGCUGUCAGAAAACGUGUGAUAGUAAAACCUGAUCUCUGCAGGGGGAGAGAAAAGGAAAGGCAGGAGCACUCCAGGCAACAUUAAUUAGGGAUAAUUAAUAUUUUCCUGAAAAUUGAAGGGGGGGGAUAAAGAUGCUCACCCUCAGCUUCAGUGUGAGGGGAUAGACACAAGGGGAACCCACACAGUAUUAGGCAGGUCGUUACUGCUGCCUUGUCAUCUUAAGGCGAAAGAGGUCGAAUACAUUUCCAAAGUAAACCAACUUUGUUCUGUGCUUUUGUGGGAACUUCAAAUGUGUUCUGACACUAAAGGGAGACUGUCAUUCAGUUCCCCUGACUGCAAUACUGAGAUGGCAACAAUCAAAACUAAAGCCUCUUUUCUCCCUGCAAAGUCUUUCCUUGACUAAAAGAAAAUCAGCACUGCCUUCCUCACCAGCUCAGCUUCUGGAGGAAUUCACUGUCUGCUGUUUGGCUGAUGUCAGGUCGGGUCACCUGCGAGUCUGCUGAGAUUCCCGAAGCCCACGAUGUUCACCUGUCUGCCCUCACACUGGAACCUCCUGAGCAGAGCUGCAGAGUGCAGCAUCCUUGCUGAUCAUUCCUGAGUGGCUGUUUGCCGACAGGGAUCAGCUGAGGAGGUGGCUGGUGGCAGGUGGAUGGGUGGGGCUGUUGGCACCACAGAAAAACAUUUGCAGUGUGCAUCAGGACGCUUGACAACAUGAAGAGACCAAAAGAUUUUUCUCUCAUCCUCCCACCUUGCACCGCACACUCAGCGAGAGCUUCCACCUUUUCUGACACCCUGAGGAUUCUCUGAAAGAGCCAUAUGUCUCCUCUGCGUUGUCACAGCAACAGUUUCAUGCAUUUUCCCUUAUCAUGCAAAUGAACCGGAGAGUCAGACCUGCUGCCCUGCGGCGAAAAUGCAAGAGCUGACCAGUUGCCUCAUGCACACAUACUGUCUGGGCCUCACAAGUAAAGCAGGUGUUCAGUUUGCAACUUGCAUAUCCUCUUCUCCAGAGGAGUUCAUGUGAUCAGAUUGAAACCUGCUAUUGUAACUUUAAAUGAUCAGAUUUGCCAGUGAAGCAUUUACAUGUUUCAGCUUUUGGUUACAAGCUGGUUUUUCUUAUUGUUCUUUUGAUGUAGUCAGACAGUGAAACAGCCUAUAUAACCAUAUAUAACCUAUGUUUUUUUUAAAUACAGAUUAAGCUGCUUUAUCCUGCCCCACAGUUCAACCCAAAGCCACUUUGCAACCCGCAUGCACCCCAGCAUCUCCAUCCAUGCUGUUCCUGAGUUAAUCAGUGUCAUAUCUGGUGUCACUGUUGCCUGCACUGGUCUUGCUGCUUCUCUUGCUUUCGUUGUCUACGUGUGGAAGGGCAGGCAGGUCCCAGAACAGAGCCAUAAAACCAUACCCAAACUAAUAGAGGUGAAAAUAAUCUUCUUUCUCAAAGCUUGCAAAUUUAUUCCCCGUUUUAAUAUGUUUUUAGUUUUUCUCUAAAACUUGCUCAUUAACCUUCAUUCAAUCCUGGCAGAAAAGCAAACGAAUAUUCUUGUGAGCUGUGAGUAACAGCUGCAAAAGCUGUGCAUUUGUUGGCUUUUUGUAUAUAGAUACAGUGGAUACAUAUACAACUGUAUUAUCGGCAUACAUCUGACAACUUGUUUCAAGCCACGAAGCAGCUGAGAAGAAGGCCAAGGACAAAAUGCUGUAAAAUUCCUCUCUUAAAAAACAAAAACAGUAUCUUAUUGUUUAUGUUUGGAAAUGUGGGAUUUUUCUGUCUGCUGUAAAAACAUCCACUCCUACAGCUGCUUUCACUAUUCAGAAAUAAUUAAAUAUA
Long non-coding RNA from Archocentrus centrarchus (flier cichlid), 1971 nucleotides. RefSeq lists it as uncharacterized. The record is from RefSeq and is a predicted model, not a curated record. NCBI's taxonomy places the organism in Eukaryota, Metazoa, Chordata, Actinopteri, Cichliformes, Cichlidae. The transcript is spliced from 3 exons.